This 490-nucleotide ribosomal RNA is filed under the name Vasticardium flavum. Its description in RNAcentral is "partial 16S ribosomal RNA". It matches the Rfam family "Bacterial large subunit ribosomal RNA", at positions 1808 to 2616 of the family's 2925-position model. The record is from RNAcentral. Lineage: Eukaryota; Metazoa; Mollusca; Bivalvia; Cardiida; Cardiidae.
CAAAAACAUCUCCCCUUGAAAAAUGAAUUUGGGGUAGGCCCUGCCCAGUGGAGUUAUUCUAAACGGAAAGGGUGACUUUUAAAGUAGCGUAGUAAUUUGUCCCUUAAUUAGGGUCUGUAUGAAUGGGUUGACGUGGGGGGACUGUCUCGGAAAAAUAAGUUGAAAUUUUCUUUUCAGUGAAAAGCCUGAAAUAAGUUUAAAAGACGAGAAGACCCCGUCGAGCUUAAGAGGAAGGGUGAAGAAUUUUUCUCUUUUCAUGUUUGUUGGGGUAACAGAGGAGAAAUUAAAUCUCCGGUCUUUAUUAUAGAUCCACUUUUUGGUGAAAAAGAGAAAAAGUUACCGCGGGGAUAACAGCGCAAGACGACCAGGGAGUUCUUAUCUAAGGUUGUAAGUGCGACCUCGAUGUUGGAUUAAGGUAAGCUUAAGGGUGUAGCAGCUCUUAAAGCGGGACUGUUCGUCCUUUAAAUCCUUACGUGAUCUGAGUUCAGAC